This 1233-nucleotide long non-coding RNA is filed under the name Coturnix japonica (Japanese quail). Its description in RNAcentral is "lncRNA (ENSCJPG00005016384.1)". Lineage: Eukaryota; Metazoa; Chordata; Aves; Galliformes; Phasianidae. The record is from RNAcentral.
UUCCAAUUCAUUGCGGUGCCUAAUUGUUGUCAAAGUGUUGUGUUUUCCUUGACGCUGAAUGUAAUUUACAAGGAGAGGUAAGUGUAGCACCCGCUCAUCUCCUGAUGAAGGAACUGAUCCACUGUUUUGUGCUUGACUUUCAGAUAUUGACUGUGGUUUGUACCUGGUGAAAUAAGCAUGUGGAAAUGACUUGGCAGUGUUCUCCCCCUGUACCAACUCCAGGAAUUGUUGCUGCACAGGACAACAACGACCACUAGUGGCUAACGAGGAAUUUUCCCAAAUGGAUAAAAGUGGAAGAGAAAACCCAUAGGUUUAAUACGCUGAGUUACUGUGGCAGAUGACUGUGGAUGGAUUUAGUGUGCUAAGAUGUAAAGCAGGUUUCAAGUCAAUUUCUCCCUCCAGACCAUGCUGUCUUGCCUUUACUCUGCCAUGAGUUCGGCUCUUAUGCUCGUGCCCAUCACACAAGGCUAUCAGCAGCAGUGGCUUCCAAUGCUGUCCCAACUACAGAGAACCCAGACCUCACACUCUGUAGCUGAUGGCCUUAUGUUUAUCAUCACAACGUACCUCAAAAAUUAGCCAAGUGUGCAAGUCUACUGAAGGCAGAUAUUUUUAAAAUAAGCAUCUCCAUUGCGGAUUAAUGGAGUAGAAAGUGAGUGACGGAUACAUUUCUUCAUGUAACUGGAAUAUCAUUCCAUUAAACUGGACUGAAUGUUAUAGAAGACAUCCAGUGAAUUGGAGAGAAGCACUAUUUUCAGCCCUGCAUUAAUCUAAAUGGACACGUUGCCCAAGUUGUAAAUUAUUUAUCUCUUUUCUAUCUUGCAGGUUUGAAUAACUGUGAUUUUAUGAACAUCAUCAACAUGAAGGAAGGGCUCUGGAAAUGGGGAAAUCAGGCAGAAUUGUUUUGUGGUGUACCUGUGGCACACAGAGCAGCUGGAGCUGAUCCGUGGGGAGGGGAGUGCGUAAAGCUGAUGUGUCAGGUGUGAGGUGUGUGUGUGGGAAUGGGCUGGGAACCAGCUGAGACCAUAUCCUUGUACCUCAAGAAGUUCUUUUUUAAAGCUCUACUGGAAAAAAAUAGAUUGAAUCCUACCUCUUUACAUCAGGUAACAGCAACACUCAACAGAACCAGCAGCUCUGUCAACAAGAGGGAGUAAGUCUCUGGGGCAUCAGAACUGUGGUGCUGCCUCUGCACCGAGCACUUUAUCACAUGGUUUAUAAAAUGAUGAAGAGGUAGGA